GUAAGAUUAGUUUAAAUAAAAUAGUAGAUUGUGGUUUUACAGAUAAUUAUAUA
RNAcentral lists this transfer RNA (53 nucleotides) under Heteroteuthis dagamensis. RNAcentral describes it as "tRNA-His". The record is from RNAcentral. Lineage: Eukaryota; Metazoa; Mollusca; Cephalopoda; Sepiida; Sepiolidae.